ACACGUAGGGGCCUGACGUUGUUCGGAAUCAUUGGGCGUAAAGGGCGCGCAGGCGGCCGUCCAAGUCCGGUGUUAAAUGGUCGGGCUCAACCCGAUCAUGCGCUGGAAACUGGGCGGCUUGAGUCCCGUAGGGGAUGCAGGAAUUCCAGGUGUAGGGGUGAAAUCUGUAGAUAUCUGGAAGAACACCGAUGGCGAAGGCAGGCAUCUGGCCGGAGACUGACGCUGAGGCGCGAAGGCGCGGGGAGCGAACAGGUUUAGAUACCCUGGUAGUCCGCGCAGUAAACGAUGCGCACCAGGUGUCGGGCGGCAGCGCCCGGUACCGGAGCUAACGCGAUGAGUGCGCCGCCUGGGGAGUAUGCCCGCAAGGGUGAAACUCAAAUGAAUUGACGGGG
This 392-nucleotide ribosomal RNA is filed under the name uncultured bacterium. RNAcentral's name for it is "partial 16S ribosomal RNA". It matches the Rfam family "Bacterial small subunit ribosomal RNA", at positions 523 to 918 of the family's 1533-position model. The record is from RNAcentral.